AACUGGGAUUCUUUUAUCCUUUGUUGCAAAAGUGUGGACACUUUUGACAGCUUGACAGAUUUUAACUCCAGAAGCACUUUAUGAAAUGGUACACUGACUAAUCCAGAAGACAUUUCCAGCAGUUUGCCAGUGGUUCCUCACUACACUGGUACUGAAAGUGUAAUCUCUUAGAGCCAAAAAACUGGAGAAACAGAUAUCCUGCAUCCUCUAACAAGUG
Molecule: long non-coding RNA, 217 nt
Filed under: Marmota monax (woodchuck)
Lineage: Eukaryota; Metazoa; Chordata; Mammalia; Rodentia; Sciuridae
Source: RNAcentral